GGGUUGUGAGGUUAAGCGACUAAGCGUACACGGUGGAUGCCCUGGCAGUCAGAGGCGAUGAAGGACGUGCUAAUCUGCGAUAAGCGCCGGUAAGGUGAUAUGAACCGUUAUAACCGGCGAUUUCCGAAUGGGGAAACCCAGUGUGAUUCGUCACACUAUCAUUAACUGAAUCCAUAGGUUAAUGAGGCGAACCGGGGGAACUGAAACAUCUAAGUACCCCGAGGAAAAGAAAUCAACCGAGAUUCCCCCAGUAGCGGCGAGCGAACGGGGAGGAGCCCAGAGCCUGAAUCAGCAUGUGUGUUAGUGGAAGCGUCUGGAAAGGCGCGCGAUACAGGGUGACAGCCCCGUACACAAAAGCGCAUGUGCUGUGAGCUCGAUGAGUAGGGCGGGACACGUGGUAUCCUGUCUGAAUAUGGGGGGACCAUCCUCCAAGGCUAAAUACUCCUGACUGACCGAUAGUGAACCAGUACCGUGAGGGAAAGGCGAAAAGAACCCCGGCGAGGGGAGUGAAAAAGAACCUGAAACCGUGUACGUACAAGCAGUGGGAGCCCCACCACUAAGCCAGUGGUGAACUCUACAUACGCAUCCUUUGCUGAGGAUACGGUUAACGGAGCGAAAGCGACGUUCAACCUCAAAAGAAGCAGAGGGGGCUUAGUGGUGGGGUGACUGCGUACCUUUUGUAUAAUGGGUCAGCGACUUAUAUUCUGUAGCAAGGUUAACCGUAUAGGGGAGCCGUAGGGAAACCGAGUCUUAACCGGGCGUUAAGUUGCAGGGUAUAGACCCGAAACCCGGUGAUCUAGCCAUGGGCAGGUUGAAGGUUGGGUAACACUAACUGGAGGACCGAACCGACUAAUGUUGAAAAAUUAGCGGAUGACCUGUGGCUGGGGGUGAAAGGCCAAUCAAACCGGGAGAUAGCUGGUUCUCCCCGAAAGCUAUUUAGGUAGCGCCUCGUGAAUUCAUCUCCGGGGGUAGAGCACUGUUUCGGCUAGGGGGCCAUCCCGGCUUACCAACCCGAUGCAAACUGCGAAUACCGGAGAAUGUUAUCACGGGAGACACACGGCGGGUGCUAACGUCCGUCGUGAAGAGGGAAACAACCCAGACCGCCAGCUAAGGUCCCAAAGUCAUGGUUAAGUGGGAAACGAUGUGGGAAGGCCCAGACAGCCAGGAUGUUGGCUUAGAAGCAGCCAUCAUUUAAAGAAAGCGUAAUAGCUCACUGGUCGAGUCGGCCUGCGCGGAAGAUGUAACGGGGCUAAACCAGGCACCGAAGCUGCGGCAGCGACGCUGAUGCGUUGUUGGGUAGGGGAGCGUUCUGUAAGCCUGCGAAGGUGGCCUGUGAGGGUUGCUGGAGGUAUCAGAAGUGCGAAUGCUGACAUAAGUAACGAUAAAGCGGGUGAAAAGCCCGCUCGCCGGAAGACCAAGGGUUCCUGUCCAACGUUAAUCGGGGCAGGGUGAGUCGACCCCUAAGGCGAGGCCGAAAGGCGUAGUCGAUGGGAAACGGGUUAAUAUUCCCGUACUUGGUGUUACUGCGAAGGGGGGACGGAGAAGGCUAUGUUGGCCGGGCGACGGUUGUCCCGGUUUAAGCGUGUAGGUGUGUGUUCCAGGUAAAUCCGGUUCACUUUAACACUGAGGCGUGAUGACGAGGCACUACGGUGCUGAAGCAACAAAUGCCCUGCUUCCAGGAAAAGCCUCUAAGCAUCAGGUAACAUCAAAUCGUACCCCAAACCGACACAGGUGGUCAGGUAGAGAAUACCAAGGCGCUUGAGAGAACUCGGGUGAAGGAACUAGGCAAAAUGGUGCCGUAACUUCGGGAGAAGGCACGCUGACACGUAGGUGAAGUGAUUUACUCAUGGAGCUGAAGUCAGUCGAAGAUACCAGCUGGCUGCAACUGUUUAUUAAAAACACAGCACUGUGCAAACACGAAAGUGGACGUAUACGGUGUGACGCCUGCCCGGUGCCGGAAGGUUAAUUGAUGGGGUCAGCGCAAGCGAAGCUCCUGAUCGAAGCCCCGGUAAACGGCGGCCGUAACUAUAACGGUCCUAAGGUAGCGAAAUUCCUUGUCGGGUAAGUUCCGACCUGCACGAAUGGCGUAAUGAUGGCCAGGCUGUCUCCACCCGAGACUCAGUGAAAUUGAACUCGCUGUGAAGAUGCAGUGUACCCGCGGCAAGACGGAAAGACCCCGUGAACCUUUACUAUAGCUUGACACUGAACAUUGAGCCUUGAUGUGUAGGAUAGGUGGGAGGCUUUGAAGUGUGGACGCCAGUCUGCAUGGAGCCGACCUUGAAAUACCACCCUUUAAUGUUUGAUGUUCUAACGUGGACCCGUUACCCGGGUUGCGGACAGUGUCUGGUGGGUAGUUUGACUGGGGCGGUCUCCUCCUAAAGAGUAACGGAGGAGCACGAAGGUUGGCUAAUCCUGGUCGGACAUCAGGAGGUUAGUGCAAUGGCAUAAGCCAGCUUGACUGCGAGCGUGACGGCGCGAGCAGGUGCGAAAGCAGGUCAUAGUGAUCCGGUGGUUCUGAAUGGAAGGGCCAUCGCUCAACGGAUAAAAGGUACUCCGGGGAUAACAGGCUGAUACCGCCCAAGAGUUCAUAUCGACGGCGGUGUUUGGCACCUCGAUGUCGGCUCAUCACAUCCUGGGGCUGAAGUAGGUCCCAAGGGUAUGGCUGUUCGCCAUUUAAAGUGGUACGCGAGCUGGGUUUAGAACGUCGUGAGACAGUUCGGUCCCUAUCUGCCGUGGGCGCUGGAGAACUGAGGGGGGCUGCUCCUAGUACGAGAGGACCGGAGUGGACGCAUCACUGGUGUUCGGGUUGUCAUGCCAAUGGCACUGCCCGGUAGCUAAAUGCGGAAGAGAUAAGUGCUGAAAGCAUCUAAGCACGAAACUUGCCCCGAGAUGAGUUCUCCCUGAGACUUUAGGUCUCCUGAAGGAACGUUGAAGACGACGACGUUGAUAGGCCGGGUGUGUAAGCGCAGCGAUGCGUUGAGCUAACCGGUACUAAUGAACCGUGAGGCUUAACCUUACAACGCCGAAG
RNAcentral lists this ribosomal RNA (3028 nucleotides) under Salmonella enterica. RNAcentral's name for it is "23S ribosomal RNA". It matches the Rfam family "Bacterial large subunit ribosomal RNA". Lineage: Bacteria; Pseudomonadati; Pseudomonadota; Gammaproteobacteria; Enterobacterales; Enterobacteriaceae. The record is from RNAcentral.